This is a long non-coding RNA of Lutra lutra (Eurasian river otter), 698 nucleotides long. RefSeq lists it as uncharacterized. NCBI's taxonomy places the organism in Eukaryota, Metazoa, Chordata, Mammalia, Carnivora, Mustelidae. The transcript is spliced from 3 exons. The record is from RefSeq and is a predicted model, not a curated record.
GCAGUACUCUCUUCAAUCUCAGGAUCUCUGCGGAAGUAGAGAUCCAAUAGGACUGAGGGAGUGUGCUCCCGGAAAAUGGUACCGCACAUGCGCAGAAUCUCCGCGCCCAGAAUUCGCCGCACCUGACCCACUGAGUAGGUGCUUAUUGUUGUUGUGUGAGGGCACCAAAUCCACAUAGCACAGAGGAGAAUCUGUGUUAACAGACUAAUGGUUGGCAAGUUAACUUAAGACGCCACGGUAAGAAGCUUGUGCUCAGUUCUGGGAUAUAGUUAACUUCUGGAAGUUGCAGCUCCCAGAAAGAGGCCUGGACCUGAUUAGUGAAGUUUCCAGGAGUAACGUGGCCAGCAAUAGAAGUGGCCCCACCGGCAAAUACAAUUUAAGAACAGCCCACUGGCCAGUAUUCUUGAAGGAUAUGAUACUGAGCAUCAGCUGGAUUUUCAGUGGCAACAGCGGAAGAAACUGCCGAAAGAAGGUUCUUCCUGGUUCUCUUCAGAUCUGUGAAGUAGAUGCCAUCACUUUUCCUUUUGAUGUCACGGGGUCUGGACAUAGCAAACAUUUCCCUUUCUCACAGGCACCUAGGACAAUGUUGUAUGGACUCCUCUCCGAGCAGCAGGAAAAGAUGUGUUCAACCCAAAACUACAUUUCCCAGUGACAUUGCACCCGAGAGUGAUCAACCAGUUGAAGCAUAAAUGAGGUAA